GGUCCUCUGGCACGCUCUGACUGCAGGCUGUGCCCCCUCUCCCCCGGGCAGGUGGGCCUCUGGCACGCUCUGACUGUAGGCUGUGGCCCCUCUCCCCCGGGCAGGUGGGUCUCUGGCACGCUCUGACUGUAGGCUGUGGCCCCUCUCCCCCGGGCAGGUGGGUCUCUGGCACGCUCUGACUGCAGGCUGUGCCCCCACCCCCACCCAGGCUGGUGGGUCUCUGGCACGCUCCGACUGUAGGCUGUGGCCCCUCUCCCCCAGGCAGGUGGGCCUCUGGCACGCUCUGACUGUAGGCUGUGCCCCCUCUCCCCCAGGCUGGUGGGUCUCUGGCACACUCUGACUGUAGGCUGUGGCCCCUCUGCUGGUGGGUCUCUGGCACACUCUGACUGCAGGCUGUGCUCUUCGUUUGUUGCA
Oryctolagus cuniculus (rabbit) is the source of this 414-nucleotide non-coding RNA. The record is from RefSeq and is a predicted model, not a curated record. Lineage: Eukaryota; Metazoa; Chordata; Mammalia; Lagomorpha; Leporidae.